CAAUAUUUAAGUCAAUACAUGGCAAACUCCUGUAAAGCAAAAUAAAUUACUCUAAUUUUGGACAGUUCUUCUGAAAAUUAAGAGGUGCCAGAGAGCUUGCUGCACUCUUCUAAACAGGUGGCCUGUUCUACCACAAACAAGGUUUGCAGCUUGAUGGGCAACAGAAUGUCACCGAAUGCCAAUCAUCCAGUUGUGAUGAAUCAGCAUCAGAAUCAAUCGUUACUUUUUUACAUGGUAUUCCAGAAGUUUCUCUACUUGGGCUACAGAAGCAAAGCCAUAGUGUUAUACAAUACUUAUUUCUUUAAAAAAAAAAUACAUGUUUUUACGCCCAUGAAUGUCAAACUUGUUUCUAUUAAAUAUAUUUAUAGACUAUUACUUUGAGCACCUUGCUGCACAAUUUAAAACCAGAUUAAAUAAGUGCUUAUGAAACUGAGACCAGAGACACCUGCUCAUCUUUGUCAAGCCAACUACGCUGCAGAGAUGCGAUGUAAACAUGAUGCUCACAUUUGUUUUGUGAGGAAAAGAACAGUAAUUACAAAGCCACCAAUGGUAACCUCGAAUAGGACUGAGAGGCCCAGGGCAGAAGCUUCAGCUGGUAUCGAUCGCUGCGUAUGGUUGAGCCACAUAUAAAGUGAACGGGCACAUGGCUGACAGGCCAGUGAGGGCACCUGCCAGAGUCACAGCAAGGGACAAAAUGAAUUAAAAAAAGAUCACAACCGCUACCUCUUCAUCUUAUGUUUACUGAACGCAAUAUUUUUAAAGCAGUAUUCCCCAUUUGUUCUUAGAAGCGCAGGUGGUCAGAGCAAGAGACAAAAAUCAGGGUUUCUCAUGCCAAAGCUUAGAGCAGUGGUCAGGAUACUCCUCUGACCAGUGACCCUGACUGGGUAAGAGUCUCCCCAGCAAUGACAACCAUACACGCAUGCUUCUGUUAUUCAGACUCUUGCUUCUUGGUAGAGACUUGCUGUAAAAUGCUAUCAGGACGUGCAGGGUCCAGGCCCAAGAGCUCAUAUAAACGCAUGACGGAGUGGAGGCUCUGAACCUUUGGAUUAUUAGUUUUUCCCCGUGGGGUGGGGGAAAGUCUAUACUCAUGAUUGCAAUCAUGUGGUCUGAAGGAACAUGGAAGCAUCUUUUGAAGAGCCACCCUGCUGAAAUGGUAGGGUGUUUUGGGUGAUUACUAUUUUUUAACCAAUUGUGGGAAAUUAAAGCCACAGAAAAUUCAUUGAAGGCCAUUAUUAUUAUUGGUUAGACUAACAGCAAAAUGAAAACCAAAUUUAGUGGGCACAACAGCAAUGGGUGAUAAAAAUGGAAACAUGAAUUUUUUUGCAUUUGGCAUUAAAUAUAAAUGUUUUAAUUGUGAAAAUAUGAGAAAAUUCAUCUAAGUCCAUAUAGAAUAAAUUUAGAGGAAUUGAAUCAGUAUCUUAAAUUCAUUUUCUUAUUAAAAUCCAUAUAUCAGAAAUGAAUUAACCUUCACAAAUAAAUUAAGCCUAUCUUGGCCAGGUGUGAUGGCUACUGCCUUUAAUCCCAGCACUUGGGAGGCCGAGGCAGGUGGAUUUCUGAGUCUGAGGUCAGCCUGGCCUUCAUAAUGAGUUCUAGGUCAGCCAGGACUACACACAAAGACUCUGUUCCCCACCGUCCCCCAAAAAGCUACCCAACAUCAGAGAAUGGCAAAUUUUUAGUCAAUUUUCUCUAAAUAGUGUCAUCAAAAUUAUGGUGGAAAAACAUAAUAAAACAAAUCAGAAAGUGUUUCCACAUGGUUUCUCUGUGUAGCCCUGGCUGUCCUGGAACUCACUUUGUAGACCAGGCUGUCCUCGAACUCAGAAAUCCGCCUGCCUCUGCCUCCCUAGUGCUGGGAUUAAAGGCGUGCGCCACCUUUUUAGUGUUUUCUUUUGUGAGUUCUGGAGAUGUGACUCGGAUCAUCAGGUCUGCUCAAAAGCACUUUCCUGACUGAGAUACCUCACCAGCUUGCUUCCAGAUUUUGCUAUUAUGAAUAAAGUUACUAUAAACAUGUGGGAAUAAAAGUUUUUAUUAUAUAGGGAAAUACCUGUCUAUCAUUUCUAGGUUGUAUUGUGUAAAUGAUCUUUUUGGAAGCCACAAACGUACCUAAUUACACACCUAACAAAUCAGACUGCUCAGCUCUCCCCUAUACCCAUGAGACAAGGCUGGCCAGAUGGGCACGGGUAUGGAUUAACUCGUACCCUAACUGAUCCCAGCUUACCUUUAAGACAGCAGUUUUUAUUAUAUGUCCUAAGGACUAAGAAUAAGGCCAAGGGUCUCUGACCUUGAGAAACA
Molecule: long non-coding RNA, 2289 nt
Filed under: Mus pahari (shrew mouse)
Lineage: Eukaryota; Metazoa; Chordata; Mammalia; Rodentia; Muridae
Description: lncRNA (MGP_PahariEiJ_G0004059.1)
Source: RNAcentral